Molecule: long non-coding RNA, 316 nt
Filed under: Gossypium barbadense (sea-island cotton)
Lineage: Eukaryota; Viridiplantae; Streptophyta; Magnoliopsida; Malvales; Malvaceae
Description: long non-coding RNA (GBAR_LNC010907)
Source: RNAcentral
GGCGGCUUACGAUAUGGUUACAUGACCUCAAACCUGGCCGAAUGUAUAAAUUAUGUUCUGAAAGGAACACGUUAUUUACCGAUAACAUAGUUGUGCGAGAGACAUAUUUUCGUUUAGCGGUACUAUUUCCGAAACGAGCAGUGAGUUAUGCAGGCCAAAUGCAAGGAAGCCAUAUAUUGUGCACAAAGGUAUUGCAAGAAAUUAACAAGGCGAAGGCACGGGCGAACACUAUACACACAGUGUGUCACGAUCGAGACAACUUAUGGUUUCGUGUGACAGAGUUUGACAAACCGCACCAAGGUAUUACUGGCGGGCA